RNAcentral lists this ribosomal RNA (253 nucleotides) under uncultured bacterium. Its description in RNAcentral is "partial 16S ribosomal RNA". It matches the Rfam family "Bacterial small subunit ribosomal RNA", at positions 524 to 776 of the family's 1533-position model. The record is from RNAcentral.
UACGUAGGGUGCGAGCGUUAAUCGGAAUUACUGGGCGUAAAGUGUGCGCAGGCGGCCGAGCAAGUCGAGUGUGAAAGCCCCGGGCUUAACUGGGGAGGGUCACGCGAUACUGAUCGACUCGAAGGCAGGAGAGGGUAGUGGAAUUCCCGGUGUAGUGGUGAAAUGCGUAGAUAUCGGGAGGAACACCAGUGGCGAAGGCGACUACCUGGCCUGUUCUUGACGCUGAGGCGCGAAAGCUAGGGGAGCAAACGGG